Molecule: ribosomal RNA, 390 nt
Filed under: fungal sp.
Lineage: Eukaryota; Fungi
Description: SSU rRNA
Rfam family: Eukaryotic small subunit ribosomal RNA
Source: RNAcentral
CUUUGGCCCUAUUUUGUUGGUUUCUAGGACCGAAGUAAUGAUUAAUAGGGAUAGUUGGGGGCAUUAGUAUUUAAUUGUCAGAGGUGAAAUUCUUGGAUUUAUGAAAGACUAACUUCUGCGAAAGCAUCUGCCAAGGAUGUUUUCAUUAAUCAAGAACGAAAGUUAGGGGAUCGAAGACGAUUAGAUACCGUCGUAGUCUUAACCAUAAACUAUGCCGACUCGGGAUCGGGCGAUGUUAUUCAUGACUCGCUCGGCACCGUAUGAGAAAUCAAAGUUUUUGGGUUCUGGGGGGAGUAUGGUCGCAAGGCUGAAACUUAAAGGAAUUGACGGAAGGGCACCACCAGGAGUGGAGCCUGCGGCUUAAUUUGACUCAACACGGGGAAACUCACC